CACCUGUCCUUCCUAGGGACUUCGGGUUGAAAAUGUCACCUCUAGCACCGUUAAUCCAGGUCCUGCAGGGCUGUUAGGAAGGGAAUUAGCAGCUGGGAUACCCCCAUCCUACAAUGAGGGGAGUUUAGCAAACCCUCCUGAAAUCCCAAGGCCACAGCUUCCUGCAGACGCUUAAGGAACAUGCCAAAUGCAACUGAUCUCCUGAAAAAUGCAAGCACUGCUGGUGAGGGCUGGGGUUCCGGGACGCUUUGCACACCACAGGUCACAGUUUGUGGGGGAGCUUCUCUGGGACCGGCUGACUCUUGGGGGCGCCGCUCGCAUCCUCCUGGCAGCAUUCGGAACCCUCACGGCUGGACUCGAGGCCCAAGGCAGACAUGGGGACCCCUGGGAGGCGUCCGGGACCCCCAGGACAGGAUUCCAGCCCCCCGGCCAGACGUGGGGACUCCUGGGCGGUGUCCAGGACGCCUGGGGCUGGACCCAAGCCCCCAAGGCUAGAUGUGGGGACCCCAGGGCUGGACUCAAGCCCCAAGGCAGACGAGGGGGACCCACCUGGGCGGCGCCCGGGACCCCCCCAGAGCAGGUCUCCAGCCCCAGAGCAGAGGUGGGGACUCCUGGGCGGCGUCCGGGACCCCCAGAGCAGGUCUCCAGCCCCAGAGCAGAGGUGGGGACUCCUGGGCGGCGUCCGGGACCCCCAGAGCAGGUCUCCAGCCCCCAGAACAGAGGUGGGGACUCCUGGGCGGCGUCCGGGACCCCCAGAGCAGUUCUCCAGCCCCCAGAGCAGAGGUGGGGACUCCUGGGCGGCGUCCGGGACCCCCAGAGCAGGUCUCCAGCCCCCAGAGCAGAGGUGGGGACUCCUGGGCGGCGUCCCGGACCCCCAGAGCAGGUCUCCAGCCCCCAAGGCAGACGUGGGGACCCACCUGGGCGGUGUCUGGGACUCCCACGGGGGAACGCCAGUCUCCAAGGCAGACGUGAGGACCCCCGGGCGGCGUCCGGGACCCCCAGGGCUGCACUCGAGCCCCCAAAGCAGACAUGGGGCUCCCUGGGUGGCGUCCGGGACCCCCAGGGCUGGACUCAUGCCCCCAGGGCAGACGUGGGGACUCCUGGGCGGCGUCCGGGACCCCCACGGCGGCACUCCAGGCUCCAGAGCAGACGUAGAGACCCCCGGGCGGUGUCCGGGACCCCGGGCGGUGUCCGGGACCCCAGGGCUGGACUCCGAGCCCCCAAGGCAGACGUGGGGACCCCGGAGCGGCGUUCGGGAUCCCCGGAGAUUGAAGUCAAGCCCCCGAGGCGGCGUUCCGCACCCUCGCAAUCAGACUUGGACUCUACCCAGCGCGGAACGGGGUAGGACGGGAGCGGGAACGAGGCGGGUGAGGGCAGCGCCGCCGGGGCUGGGGGUCCUAGCGCCUACACGGCCGGCGGCUGCACCGGGC
This 1430-nucleotide long non-coding RNA is filed under the name Macaca fascicularis (crab-eating macaque). Its description in RNAcentral is "lncRNA (ENSMFAG00000061064.1)". Lineage: Eukaryota; Metazoa; Chordata; Mammalia; Primates; Cercopithecidae. The record is from RNAcentral.